UAGACUUAGUCCCAACCUUACUGUUAGUUUUCGCCAAGUACAUACAUGCAAGUAUCCGCACCCCAGUGCAAAUGCCCUCCACCUACAUACCACCUAAGCUGGAGGAGCCGGUAUCAGGCACACCCCUCCCCACGGUAGCCCAAAACACCUUGCACCCGCCACACCCUCACGGGCAUUCAGCAGUAGUUAACAUUAGGCAAUGAGCGAAAGCCCGACCUAGCCACAGCGACAUUAAGGGCUGGUAAAUCUUGUGCCAGCCACCGCGGUUACACAAGAGGCCCAAAUUAACCGUUACUCGGCGUAAAGAGUGGCACUUUAUUAUCCAAAAGACUAGAGCUAAAAGUGAACUAAGCCGUCAUAAGCCCAAGACACACUCAAAACCACCAUUAAAAUGACUCCAGACAAACCCUGAUAAAUAACCCGCCACGAAAGCCAGGGCUCAAACUGGGAUUAGAUACCCCACUAUGCCUAGCCCUAAAUCUCGAUACUUUCCCCAACUAAAGUACCCGCCAGAGAACUACGAGCACAAACGCUUAAAACUCUAAGGACUUGGCGGUACCCCAAACCCACCUAGAGGAGCCUGUCCUAUAAUCGAUAACCCACGAUACACCCGACCAUUCCUCGCCAAACAGCCUACAUACCGCCGUCAUCAGCCCACCUCCUGAGAGUACAACAGUGAGCACAAUAGCCCCCCGCUAAUAAGACAGGUCAAGGUAUAGCCUAUGGAAUGGAAGAGAUGGGCUACACUCUCUAAACUAGAGAACCACGGAUAGGGUAGUGAAAACCUUCCCCUGAAGGCGGAUUUAGUAGUAAAAGUGAACCCAUCACACCACUUUUAAAAAGGCCCUGGGGUACGUACAUACCGCCCGUCACCCUCCUCAUAAGGCACUAUACCACAACAACCUAUUAAACCCCAAGCCCAAUAGAUGAGGUAAGUCGUAACAAGGUAAGUGUACCGGAAGGUGCACUUAGAAUAC
This 977-nucleotide ribosomal RNA is filed under the name Taenioptynx brodiei brodiei. RNAcentral describes it as "Glaucidium brodiei brodiei 12S ribosomal RNA". It matches the Rfam family "Bacterial small subunit ribosomal RNA". Lineage: Eukaryota; Metazoa; Chordata; Aves; Strigiformes; Strigidae. The record is from RNAcentral.